Molecule: ribosomal RNA, 510 nt
Filed under: fungal endophyte sp. ZY-2009
Lineage: Eukaryota; Fungi
Description: eukaryotic LSU rRNA
Rfam family: 5.8S ribosomal RNA (bases 148-301)
Source: RNAcentral
AUGGUUGAGUAUCUCGCCUCUCAGUUCUGCCUGUAUUCUACCCUUGUUUGUCAUAUACUAUUAUUUCCUCGGCAGGCUUGCUUGCCGAGUGAAACCAUUUAUAACCUUUUUAAUUUUCAAUCAGCGUCUGAAAAAAUUAAUAAUUACAACUUUCAACAACGGAUCUCUUGGUUCUGGCAUCGAUGAAGAACGCAGCGAAAUGCGAUAAGUAGUGUGAAUUGCAGAAUUCAGUGAAUCAUCGAAUCUUUGAACGCACAUUGCGCCCCUUGGUAUUCCAUGGGGCAUGCCUGUUCGAGCGUCAUUUGUACCUUCAAGCUUUGCUUGGUGUUGGGUGUUUGUCCCGAGGGACUCGCCUUAAAGUAAUUGGCAGCCAGUGUUUGGUUUUGAAGCGCAGCACAAGUCGCGAUUCAAGGCUACACGCCCGCUUCCACAAGCCUUUUUUCACUUUUGACCUCGGAUCAGGUAGGGAUACCCGCUGAACUUAAGCAUAUCAAUAAGCCGGAGGAAGGA